GAUUCUUCUCUAGUCGUUUUCAGGUCUUUACAUGUUUGGGAUUUAUUUGGAGAUAAUGGAGCAUUCAAGAGGAAAACAGAGAAUUUAGGCUGCUGAAGAAAUUCGGAGACUAAAAACCGCGUAGGUGUCGAACGACACCACUCUUGGUGUCGAGCGACACCAAUACUUGACGACAAUUCGAAGACGCAACUUAUUGAUGUUUUGAAGAUUUCCAAAUUUGGCCCAAAACUUUCCCUUAUUUCUAAAGAAGGCCCAUCACGUUUCUUAGGUCAUAUAUAUAUAUAUAUAUUUUAAAGGUCAUUGUUUAGACCUAAGAGCAUCUCCAUUGGAAGUAUCUCAAUGAGAUACCCAACAAAAAAA
RNAcentral lists this small RNA (360 nucleotides) under Arabidopsis thaliana (thale cress). RNAcentral describes it as "ATSL041620". Lineage: Eukaryota; Viridiplantae; Streptophyta; Magnoliopsida; Brassicales; Brassicaceae. The record is from RNAcentral.